UACGUAGGGGGCAAGCGUUGUCCGGAUUUAUUGGGCGUAAAGAGCGUGUAGGCGGCCGCACAGGUCCGUUGUGAAAACUGGAGGCUUAACCUCCAGACGUCGAUGGAAACCGUGCGGCUAGAGUCCGGAAGAGGAGAAUGGAAUUCCUGGUGUAGCGGUGAAAUGCGCAGAUAUCAGGAAGAACACCCGUGGCUAAGGCGGU
This 202-nucleotide ribosomal RNA is filed under the name uncultured bacterium. RNAcentral describes it as "partial 16S ribosomal RNA". It matches the Rfam family "Bacterial small subunit ribosomal RNA", at positions 524 to 725 of the family's 1533-position model. The record is from RNAcentral.